This 1059-nucleotide ribosomal RNA is filed under the name Vibrio harveyi. RNAcentral describes it as "bacterial SSU rRNA". It matches the Rfam family "Bacterial small subunit ribosomal RNA", at positions 130 to 1185 of the family's 1533-position model. Lineage: Bacteria; Pseudomonadati; Pseudomonadota; Gammaproteobacteria; Vibrionales; Vibrionaceae. The record is from RNAcentral.
CCUGAAGUGGGGGAUAACCAUUGGAAACGAUGGCUAAUACCGCAUAAUACCUACGGGUCAAAGAGGGGGACCUUCGGGCCUCUCGCGUCAGGAUAUGCCUAGGUGGGAUUAGCUAGUUGGUGAGGUAAUGGCUCACCAAGGCGACGAUCCCUAGCUGGUCUGAGAGGAUGAUCAGCCACACUGGAACUGAGACACGGUCCAGACUCCUACGGGAGGCAGCAGUGGGGAAUAUUGCACAAUGGGCGCAAGCCUGAUGCAGCCAUGCCGCGUGUGUGAAGAAGGCCUUCGGGUUGUAAAGCACUUUCAGUCGUGAGGAAGGUAGUGUAGUUAAUAGCUGCAUUAUUUGACGUUAGCGACAGAAGAAGCACCGGCUAACUCCGUGCCAGCAGCCGCGGUAAUACGGAGGGUGCGAGCGUUAAUCGGAAUUACUGGGCGUAAAGCGCAUGCAGGUGGUUUGUUAAGUCAGAUGUGAAAGCCCGGGGCUCAACCUCGGAAUAGCACUUGAAACUGGCAGACUAGAGUACUGUAGAGGGGGGUAGAAUUUCAGGUGUAGCGGUGAAAUGCGUAGAGAUCUGAAGGAAUACCGGUGGCGAAGGCGGCCCCCUGGACAGAUACUGACACUCAGAUGCGAAAGCGUGGGGAGCAAACAGGAUUAGAUACCCUGGUAGUCCACGCCGUAAACGAUGUCUACUUGGAGGUUGUGGCCUUGAGCCGUGGCUUUCGGAGCUAACGCGUUAAGUAGACCGCCUGGGGAGUACGGUCGCAAGAUUAAAACUCAAAUGAAUUGACGGGGGCCCGCACAAGCGGUGGAGCAUGUGGUUUAAUUCGAUGCAACGCGAAGAACCUUACCUACUCUUGACAUCCAGAGAACUUUCCAGAGAUGGAUUGGUGCCUUCGGGAACUCUGAGACAGGUGCUGCAUGGCUGUCGUCAGCUCGUGUUGUGAAAUGUUGGGUUAAGUCCCGCAACGAGCGCAACCCUUAUCCUUGUUUGCCAGCACUUCGGGUGGGAACUCCAGGGAGACUGCCGGUGAUAAACCGGAGGAAGGUGGGGACGACGU